AGCGAUUGUAGAGAACCGGUAUCUCACCAGUCUCAUAAGCUGGAUUUAAUCAGUUCGACUCUGAUCAUCGCUACCA
RNAcentral lists this transfer RNA (76 nucleotides) under Clostridia bacterium. RNAcentral's name for it is "tRNA-Met". It matches the Rfam family "tRNA". Rfam says of the family: Transfer RNA (tRNA) molecules are approximately 80 nucleotides in length. Their secondary structure includes four short double-helical elements and three loops (D, anti-codon, and T loops). Lineage: Bacteria; Bacillati; Bacillota; Clostridia. The record is from RNAcentral.